This 247-nucleotide unclassified non-coding RNA is filed under the name uncultured Ascomycota. Its description in RNAcentral is "sequence contains 5.8S rRNA gene, ITS2, 28S rRNA gene". The record is from RNAcentral. Lineage: Eukaryota; Fungi; Ascomycota.
AACGCACAUUGCGCCCUUCGGUAUUCCGUUGGGCAUGCCUGUUCGAGCGUCAUUUAACCCUUCAAGCUCUGCUUGGUGUUGGGCGUUUGUUCCGCCUCCGCGCGUGGACUCGCCUCAAAUUCAUUGGCAGCCGGUCAGUUGGCUUUCGUGCGCAGCGCAUUGCGUAGCGGCUCCAGCUUGCCUCCUACCAUUAAGCUACUCUACAUGUUUUGACCUCGGAUCAGGUAGGGAUACCCGCUGAACUUAA